RNAcentral lists this ribosomal RNA (244 nucleotides) under uncultured Staphylococcus sp. RNAcentral describes it as "partial 16S ribosomal RNA". It matches the Rfam family "Bacterial small subunit ribosomal RNA", at positions 96 to 334 of the family's 1533-position model. Lineage: Bacteria; Bacillati; Bacillota; Bacilli; Caryophanales; Staphylococcaceae. The record is from RNAcentral.
CGGCGGACGGGUGAGUAACACGUGGAUAACCUACCUAUAAGACUGGGAUAACUUCGGGAAACCGGAGCUAAUACCGGAUAACAUGUUGAACCGCAUGGUUCAACAGUGAAAGACGGUCUUGCUGUCACUUAUAGAUGGAUCCGCGCCGCAUUAGCUAGUUGGUAAGGUAACGGCUUACCAAGGCAACGAUGCGUAGCCGACCUGAGAGGGUGAUCGGCCACACGGGAACUGAGACACGGUCCAG